Molecule: ribosomal RNA, 325 nt
Filed under: uncultured microorganism
Description: bacterial SSU rRNA
Rfam family: Bacterial small subunit ribosomal RNA
Source: RNAcentral
GAGUUUGAUCGUGGCUCAGAUUGAACGCUGGCGGUAUGCUUAACACAUGCAAGUCGAACGGUAACAGGAGAGAGCUUGCUCUUUUGCUGACGAGUGGCGGACGGGUGAGUAAUGCGUAGGAAUCUGCCUAGUAGUGGGGGACAACGUGUGGAAACGCACGCUAAUACCGCAUACGCCCUACGGGGGAAAGCGGGGAGUCUUCGGACCUCGCGCUAUUAGAUGAGCCUACGUUAGAUUAGCUAGUUGGUGGGGUAAAGGCCUACCAAGGCGACGAUCUAUAGCUGGUCUGAGGAGGAUGAUCGACGCCACUACGUGGGACUGAGAC